CCUACGGGAGGCAGCAGUGGGGAAUUUUGGACAAUGGGCGAAAGCCUGAUCCAGCAAUGCCGCGUGAGUGAAGAAGGCCUUCGGGUUGUAAAGCUCUUUUGUCAGGGAAGAAACGGUGAGAGCUAAUAUCUUUUGCUAAUGACGGUACCUGAAGAAUAAGCACCGGCUAACUACGUGCCAGCAGCCGCGGUAAUACGUAGGGUGCAAGCGUUAAUCGGAAUUACUGGGCGUAAAGCGUGCGCAGGCGGUUUUGUAAGUCUGAUGUGAAAUCCCCGGGCUCAACCUGGGAAUUGCAUUGGAGACUGCAAGGCUAGAAUCUGGGCAGAGGGGGGUAGAAUUCCACGUGUAGCAGUGAAAUGCGUAGAUAUGUGGAGGAACACCGAUGGCGAAGGCAGCCCCCUGGGUCAAGAUUGACGCUCAUGCACGAAAGCGUAGGGGAGCAAACAGGAUUAGAUACCCUGGUAGUCCACGCCCUAAACGAUGUCUACUAGUUGUCGGGUCUUAAUUGACUUGGUAACGCAGCUAACGCGUGAAGUAGACCGCCUGGGGAGUACGGUCGCAAGAUUAAAACUAAAUUGAAAUUGACGGCGAGAGAGUAGACGAGGACGACACGAGGGGAGGAGG
RNAcentral lists this ribosomal RNA (624 nucleotides) under uncultured bacterium. RNAcentral's name for it is "bacterial SSU rRNA". It matches the Rfam family "Bacterial small subunit ribosomal RNA", at positions 338 to 959 of the family's 1533-position model. The record is from RNAcentral.